This 842-nucleotide long non-coding RNA is filed under the name Numida meleagris (helmeted guineafowl). RNAcentral's name for it is "lncRNA (ENSNMEG00000000706.1)". Lineage: Eukaryota; Metazoa; Chordata; Aves; Galliformes; Numididae. The record is from RNAcentral.
GGAGGAGCUGAGCGGGCUGGACGAGGAGCGGCAGACGGCGGUGAGGACGUUCGAGGUUUGCUCGGGGUUGCACCCCCCCGGCCCCCCCCAGAACAGCUGGCUGCGUUCCACCUGGGUGCCGCGCCGGGGGGCCACCUACGUCUACGCCGAGCUGCGCUACACCGUGGUGGAAUGCGACAGCCUGCUGGCCAGGGCCCGACGAAACCGCCCCGCCGCCCUUAGCGACCGACCUCGGGGUGGGGGGGGGCGCGGUCUCCAUGGCAACGGCCCCGGAGAUGGAUGGAGUGGUCCCCAUGGCAACGGCCCUGGAAGCAGGCUGAGCCGCAGUGUCCAUGGCAACGGCCUUGGAGAUGGAUGGAGUGGUCUCCAUGGCAACGGGCCCAGGGAUGGAUGGAGUGGUCCCCAUAGCAACGGCCUUGGAGAUGGAUGGAGUGGUUCCCAUGGCAACGGACCCGGUGAUGGAUGGAGCGGUCCCCAUGGCAACAGUCCUAGCAGCAGGGAUGCUCUUAGCAACAGCCCUGGCAACGGACCCAGGAACACCGAUAUCCAUGGCAACGGCCCUAGCAACCGACCCUGGACCACGGAUGCCCUUAGCAACGCCCCUAGCAACGGACCCAGGAACACCGAUAUCCAUGGCAACGCCCCUAGCAACGGGCCCUGGAACACGGAUGCCCUUAGCAACGCCCCUAGCAACGGAACAAACGGAUGCUACGCCCCUAGCAACGGCCCCGACGGCCGCCGCUCCCCUAGCAACGCCCCUAGCAACGCCCCUAGCAACGGAACAAACGGAUGCUACGUCCCUAGCAACGGCCCCAUCCACAGCCCCGACGGCCGCCGCUCCC